GACGAACGCUGGCGGCGUGCCUAAUACAUGUAAGUCGAACGCUUUGUUAGUCACCAGAGCCUGCUCCAUCGAAAAUCAAAGAGUGGCGGACGGGUGAGUAACACGUGGGCAACCUGCCCAACAGAGGGGGAUAACACUUGGAAACAGGUGCUAAUACCGCAUAAUUUGUUUUUCCGCAUGGAAGAAUAAUAAAAGACGCUUCGGUGUCACUGUUGGAUGGGCCCGCGCUGCAUUAGUUAGUUGGUGGGGUAACGGCCUACCAAGACCAUGAUGCAUAGCCGACCUGAGAGGGUGAUCGGCCACACUGGGACUGAGACACGGCCCAGACUCCUACGGGAGGCAGCAGUAGGGAAUCUUCGGCAAUGGACGAAAGUCUGACCGAGCAACGCCGCGUGAGUGAAGAAGGUUUUCGGAUCGUAAAACUCUGUUGUUAGAGAAGAACAAGUGAGAGAGUUACUGUUCUCACCUUGACGGUAUCUAGCCAGAAAGCCACGGCUAACUACGUGCCAGCAGCCGCGGUAAUACGUAGGUGGCAAGCGUUGUCCGGAUUUAUUGGGCGUAAAGCGAGCGCAGGCGGUUUCUUAAGUCUGAUGUGAAAGCCCUCGGCUCAACCGAGGAAGGUCAUUGGAAACUGGGGAACUUGAGUGCAGAAGAGGAGAGUGGAAUUCCAUGUGUAGCGGUGAAAUGCGUAGAUAUAUGGAGGAACACCAGUGGCGAAGGCGACUCUCUGGUCUGUAACUGACGCUGAGGCUCGAAAGCGUGGGGAGCAAACAGG
RNAcentral lists this ribosomal RNA (775 nucleotides) under uncultured bacterium. Its description in RNAcentral is "bacterial SSU rRNA". It matches the Rfam family "Bacterial small subunit ribosomal RNA", at positions 28 to 776 of the family's 1533-position model. The record is from RNAcentral.